Molecule: ribosomal RNA, 343 nt
Filed under: uncultured Butyrivibrio sp.
Lineage: Bacteria; Bacillati; Bacillota; Clostridia; Lachnospirales; Lachnospiraceae
Description: bacterial SSU rRNA
Rfam family: Bacterial small subunit ribosomal RNA
Source: RNAcentral
GAUGAACGCUGGCGGCGUGCCUAACACAUGCAAGUCGAACGGAGAGAUGAUGUGAGCGGAUGAUUAGCUUGCUAGGAUUCCAAUCUUUUCAUUUUCUUAGUGGCGGACGGGUGAGUAACGCGUGGAGAACCUGCCUCUUACUGGGGGACAGCAGCUGGAAACGGCUGAUAAUACCGCAUAAGCGCACGGUAUGGCAUCAUACAGUGUGAAAAGAUUUAUCGGUAAGAGAUGGCUCCGCGUCUGAUUAGCCAGUUGGCGGGGUAACGGCCCACCAAAGCAACGAUCAGUAGCCGGCCUGAGAGGGCGGACGGCCACAUUGGGACUGAGACACGGCCCAGACUCC